RNAcentral lists this ribosomal RNA (464 nucleotides) under uncultured Methanomicrobiales archaeon. RNAcentral's name for it is "bacterial SSU rRNA". It matches the Rfam family "Archaeal small subunit ribosomal RNA", at positions 875 to 1338 of the family's 1478-position model. The record is from RNAcentral. Lineage: Archaea; Methanobacteriati; Methanobacteriota; Methanomicrobia; Methanomicrobiales.
AGCACCACAACAGGUGGAGCCUGCGGUUUAAUCGGACUCAACGCCGGGAAACUCACCAGAUAAGACAGCUGAAUGAUAGUCGGGCUGAAGACUCUACUUGACUAGCUGAGAGGAGGUGCAUGGCCGUCGUCAGUUCGUACUGUGAAGCAUCCUGUUAAGUCAGGCAACGAGCGAGACCCACGCCAACAGUUGCCAGCUCGUCCUCCGGGAUGGAGGGGACACUGUUGGGACCGCCUCUGCUAAAGAGGAGGAAGGAAUGGGCAACGGUAGGUCAGCAUGCCCCGAAUUAUCUGGGCUACACGCGGGCUACAAUGGGUGGGACAAUGGGUAUCGACACCGAAAGGUGAAGGCAAUCUCCUAAACCCAUCCUUAGUUCGGAUUGUGGGCUGCAACUCGCCCACAUGAAGCUGGAAUCUGUAGUAAUCGUGUUUCAAAAUAGCACGGUGAAUAUGUCCCUGCUCCUU